UCUGGAGUCCUGGCUCCCUCUGGAAGCACAGUAGAGGUCUCUCCUCAUCUGAAACCCGAAACUGCGAAGGGUAUUUAGGCCUCUUAUGCGGAUCCGGCCCCCGUCUGAGCCUGUUUUCACGGUGUGAGGUGUGAGCGCGGCGCAAGGCGCUCCUUGGGGCUGAUACUGCACGCUGGGCGGGAGGGGCUCACCCAGGCCCAACGGGCGCGGCCAGUGUGGGGUCUCGGUCGGUCCCGGCGCAGCGACUCUUCCUUCGGCCAGCAGGGGUCAGCCGCAGCCGCUGUUGGCGCCUCCAGUGAGCCGCUGAGAAGCGCGGAACGCAGCCCCAGAUUUGGCGCCCGAAGGACCCUUGGAGGUCAUACGCCCUGAGGCCCGACCCAGGCCCCGGGGUGGGGAGGAGGUCCCGCCCAAGGUUGCCCAGGGGUCCGUGCUAGCGGGGCGGGACCCGAAUUCUCUUUGUCCCUGGCUCUUUCCCAAAGUCCAAGAGGCCAGUUUGAGGGGCUCUAAAAACCAGGUUUGGGCCCUAGAAGGUUCCACAGGAGGUCUGGGUGCCUGUCCCGGUUGUACCAGACGUGCUGUGUGACCUUGGGAACCUGCAUGGAGGAGGUGACAUCUAAGUUGGAUUGUGAAGGGUGAGGAGUUUUUCAUGCAGAGGAGAGGAGCACAAACCUUUCAGUACUGAAGGAUUCAGGACCAUGGCCAGCACCGAAGCAGCCUACAAAUUCUGAAAUAAGCUUAGAGUCUUAGCCAAAGAGAUCAGCACUGCCUUUAGGGAGCUUGGCGUGAGGGGAGAGGGCUGAGUCUGCUGCCUCUGGAUGGAGUGAGAGCUUCUCAAGGUAGAACAAAGGCAGUGAAGGGUGUAGGGAUAUUACACAGCUGUGCUCCAUGAGCAUGUGUUAAGGCUGUGGAAUGGAUCCUGGCAGGAUGACCUCAAAUUAAGAUUUUAAUGACUCUUCCAUUUAGAAGACACACUCUUUCCAUUAAUGCUGCCUUGUCAGAGUGAACACAUUAUAGAGAAGAGAUUUUGGCACGCCUUUCCCACUAAUGCUUAGCAAAUGCAUCAAAACUUUGCCAGCAAACUGCGUUCAUUCAUAGCAGGUGAUGUAAAAAGUUUUCCCUGAAUGUUGAACGAGUGUUCUCUGAACUGAAA
Neofelis nebulosa (Clouded leopard) is the source of this 1150-nucleotide long non-coding RNA. RefSeq lists it as uncharacterized. The transcript is spliced from 6 exons. The record is from RefSeq and is a predicted model, not a curated record. NCBI's taxonomy places the organism in Eukaryota, Metazoa, Chordata, Mammalia, Carnivora, Felidae.